GUGUUUGCUUCGGCAGCACAUAUACCAAAAUUUGAACUAUAUGGAAAUGAUUAGCAUGACCUUUUCACAAGGAUGACAUGCAAAUUCAUGUAGUGUUCCAUAUUUUU
Molecule: small nuclear RNA, 107 nt
Organism: Meriones unguiculatus (Mongolian gerbil)
Lineage: Eukaryota; Metazoa; Chordata; Mammalia; Rodentia; Muridae
Source: Ensembl